UCUCCGUUGGUGAACCAGCGGAGGGAUCAUUACCGAGUUUACAACUCCCAAACCCAAUGUGAACGUUACCAAACUGUUGCCUCGGCGGGAUCUCUGCCCCGGGUGCGUCGCAGCCCCGGACCAGGGCGCCCGCCGGAGGACCAACCAAAAACUCUUUUGGAUACCCCCUCGCGGGUUUUUUAUAUCUGAGCCAUCGCGGCGCCUCUCGUAGGCGUUUCGAAAAUGAAUCAAAACUUUCAACAACGGAUCUCUUGGUUCUG
Molecule: unclassified non-coding RNA, 260 nt
Filed under: plant metagenome
Description: partial contains small subunit ribosomal RNA, internal transcribed spacer 1, and 5.8S ribosomal RNA
Source: RNAcentral